UAUAGCCUUGGUAAUAAAAUUGAUUUUUUUUUGCUUUUCAGCCAGCAGGUGGCCCACUCUAACAAUGCACUGUUAAUGCUGUGAGCUCAGGGAAUGCCCUUCAGACUGCUUAGUAAGAAAGAUUACAGAAUUGGACACACUCACCUUCCUGUAUUUCCAGAGUUGAUUUCCCUUCAUUCCAUGACAAUCAUAGAGGGUCACAGGACUAUUGUGGGAAACGGCAUCAAAACAGAAUUUCUUUGUAUGCUGAGGGUCACCUGGACGAAUAUCUUCUCGCCAGCUGAAUGUGAAUACCUGCCAGAACAAAUAAUAAAUCCUCAAAACUAU
Molecule: non-coding RNA, 327 nt
Organism: Anolis sagrei ordinatus
Lineage: Eukaryota; Metazoa; Chordata; Lepidosauria; Squamata; Anolidae
Source: RefSeq, a predicted model, not a curated record